RNAcentral lists this ribosomal RNA (3205 nucleotides) under Triticum aestivum (bread wheat). RNAcentral's name for it is "partial small subunit ribosomal RNA". Lineage: Eukaryota; Viridiplantae; Streptophyta; Magnoliopsida; Poales; Poaceae. The record is from RNAcentral.
CAGGGGGCGUGUGGGAUCGCUUGGGAUCGCGAGCGUCUAGGGAGGGUGCGGGGGAGGGGAGCGGCGGUGGGCGGGGAGGGGAGCGUCUAGGUCUAGCGGCACGAGACGAGGAGGGAGGAAGGGGAGACCGUUCUAGGGUGUAGGUAGCUAGGUAGGUAGUUGGCCUUGGGGAGAGGGCUACGGUCUAGGUUAGGAGGAGGGAGGGAGGAGCGGGGCCGAGGAACGAGGGGAGGGGAAGGUAUAGUGGCAUGGUGGAGGGAGGAACGGGAUAGAGCGACGAGGGGAGGGGAAGGUCUAGCGGCGGCGGUGGAGGGAGGAGGAGGGAGCGGGACCGAGGGACGAGGCGGAGGGAGAAGGGGAGGAGGAGUAGCACGACGACGCAAGAUCUCACAAACGAAUGUCCCGGCCCUCGCUGUGGUUGCUGUGCCUGCCCCUGCUCCUACUACUGGGGCACUACCUCCAGCUGCCGUGGCUCCUGCUCCUCCAGCUACUCCAGCAGGUCCGAUUCCGGCGGCGGUUCCGCGAGCCCUGGUUCUCGUCGAACCCGAGCCCGUGGCAGCCACUACAAAAGCUGCCCGAGCACCUCGAGUUGUACCUGCGGAUACUGCUGCUCCUCCUACCCGAGCUCGAAAAGUCGUGGUCCGACCCCCUGAACAUGAUGCUUUCGUUACUUCUCCUGGGGAUAUAGUAGUUCUUGCUACUACUUCUACUACCGCUCCUGCUGCUACUCCUCUAAUUCCUGUACUGAUAGUUUAGAUGACUAUAUCACUAACAAACGCGAGUAUUGUUCCUACUUAAGUUAAGAGAGGUCCAAUCGUAUCACCUUCUUAACCUCCUACCCCUAGGAUUAUACAAACACGCGGUACUCCAGGGAGAGAGUCUAAAAGACGAGACGUGCCGAACCUACCUAAAAUUGGCAGUCCUAAACCCCGGAAGAAGUUCUUCCUGUUCUGGUCCCGGAGGUUACCUAGUCGGUAGUGGUACCAUUCGGCUCCACGACACCCACAGUUCCUUCUGCUACCAAGCCAACUCUGUCACUUCUCUCCUAUCGCACGUCUCUCCCUCCUGCAGCCAAGGUCCAGGUACUGUAGAGCGACUUGGUGAUGACCUACACCACAGCUGCUUCGUGAUGUGGAUCGAACGAGCAGCCGCGCGUGUACACACGAAACUACGCGCUGCGAAGUAGCUCGACUGGCCUGGCGCUGUUAGCGGCCUCGGCCUCGACCUCCUCCGCUACUCUACGACGACGACGCUGACGCAGGAGCCUCCGUCGUCAACGGGGAGCGGCUGGAGUGGUUGGAGGCCGCAAGCGGUACUCGAGGCGCGUCCUGGGGAAGAUUUAGAAGGUCCUCCUCUAGGUCCCGAACCAUUAGGGGGGUAGCGGCAGGCGGGAGGGAGGGAGGGAACACGGGGAAAGAGAAGGAGAUCAACGCUUAAAACCAUACAACGGCGACAAAUAAACCGACGCAGCACCGCAUGACAGUCGACUUUUGACGAAGAAAUAAAAGAUGAGGUCAUAACAUACCUCAUCAUAUAUUCCUACAGAAUGACAUCAUACCGUUUCCGUCACUGGUCGAACCAUCAAUCAUGAUCUACUCUUUUAAGUACUACGACCGGCCCUCGUUUUUUAAAUAUCCGAAUCAACGACAUAACCAAGACAUUAACAUACCCCUAUAUACGUAUCUAUACAUUGCACACCCAAGGUUCGUACGAAGGCUCUAAAAAAAUCAAAACGACCGAGAACGUUGUGAACCUAAUAAAUAAUUAUAUUGGGUUGUCGCUACGAAGGUAAAAUUGUGUACAUGAUCACACGAUUUUGAUCAUGACAUGGACGAAGAAGAAUCGGACUCAUCAUGUAGUCCGAACAUAAUUGAACAUCGGAUCAGUGAUGUCAGUAGAACACGAAAAUAGAAGAGACACUACAGUAAACGGAAACUCGGAUGAAUAACUUCUGAAUACGAGUAUAUAGAAAAAUCAGGGAGAUAAAGGUAUUUACACUGUGACAAAACAAAGAUUUAUGAACUGUGUAUGUUCAAACUCCCGUAACAGGAUUUGGGAACGAUACUAACUAGGUAGAGGAGAUGAAACAAUGAACACGAAUUAACUCUACAAUGAGUUCCCAUCACAAACCCUGUUGUAUAUAUUUACUAUACCAGCAAAUGAAAUUAUACACACAACUGAGCUUUGACAGUUUUAUAGAUCUUUAUCUCGCUUGAGUGAAGUGUCUAAGAAAGUUAGAAGUUACCAAUACCAAAAACGUAAUGCCUAAGAAUUAGAGGAGACUAAGAUCUAAGAAGGUUCACGAUCGAUCGAGGUUUUCGUUUAACAGAAGUAAACCUUCUACGUUGUAAGAUAGUCUUAGGUAAGAGGACGAGAAAAAGAACAUGGCAUACAGUAGGUAAUAAGUUGGGGCAACCAUUCAAGAACAUCACACAGAGAGAUAAGUCUUAACGUAAAAUCAAAUCCUAAACGAAGGACACACCAUGACCUACCGACUCAUAAUUUUGUUAAACCAAUGAUAGCCUUCGUGAAAUUAAGAGACCUUAAUUUGAAACUGUUCGUACGUAUAUACACAAGUUAAAAAGACCUAAUGCACUACCGUAAGAUGCUAAGACAAAUUGUUGAAUUCAUAUACAUACUUACACGAGCUCAGGUACUAAAUAACAAGACAAAUUGUUGAAUUCAUAUACAUACUUACACGAUGUAAAUCUAGCUGGAUAGUAUCUUUAGACGAAUUAAACUUGACCUUCAUCUAUCAUGAUUGUCAGUCUAACAGGAGGUCAGGUACAGAAACUACAUGUGGACGAGACGACAACAAUAAACAAUUAUAUGUCUAUGUUGGCAUACAUAUCAGUGAUUGUGAACCUGAACGGUUUUGUAAGUACAUCCGACAACCACCUGCACCACCACUAGGAGGACAAUCCUCCAUCUCCUACACUCGACUCGACGACAGACCAGCUCCUUCUUUCAACGACAGAAAUGACCACUUUGUUUAACGACGGCGUUGGUACGAACACUCGAAUACUACACGGAGAUCAAAUCAAACAGCCAAAGACACUUAGUAAGAGACACUACAUUCUACAUAACGACGACAAUCGACAUUUACACUACAUACUACUCAACUGAACUACCAAGCAAACUCCAACAGUAACCUUACCUAAUAGAGGACACUUCAAAUGACGAUCAAUUGUACUCAAUUUGAUUA